This 21-nucleotide small nuclear RNA is filed under the name Arabidopsis thaliana (thale cress). RNAcentral's name for it is "snRNA_09868". The record is from RNAcentral. Lineage: Eukaryota; Viridiplantae; Streptophyta; Magnoliopsida; Brassicales; Brassicaceae.
CUAACCAAACUAACAAGAUCA